CAGAAAGUUGUUGGCACACACUUUGCUUCAAACAUGUGCAUGCACAAACACUCCCACUGACAUAAAGUAUGUUGUGAGUGGCCAGAAAGAGAUCCUCAGGCAUAUUCACACGAUUCGCAACAUCACAGGAACAUUAUGUGUGGCUGAGCUACUCGAACACUCAAAUGCAUAUCACACAGUUUUAUAACACAAUUGCCAUUUAGACUUUAUGGUUGUAUUCUGCACACGCUCGGCCUCUAACUUACUUUGCGUUUGGUAUACUGUUACAUUUUCAAAGUGAACCAUUAGUGGAGUCCAUUAGAUGGCCACACAUGUACUCAUAGAACUGAAGUUGCAUCCACAGACUUAUGUACUUUUUAAUGCAAAAUAAACCAUUGAAUGGUUGUCAGAAAAUCAACAACAAUUCAAUCAUAAUAAAUCAAUCAGCCAAACAUUUCCCGGGUUAAUCCCUUUAAAUUGAGAAUGUGCUGCUUUUCUGUUUUAUGUAAUUGGAAAUUGAACUAAUUUUGAAAAAAUGUUAGUCUGACAAAACAAACUAUUUGAAAACGCCAAUCUGGGCUCUGAAAAAUCGUCUCAGUUGUAAUACACAAAACGAAACUUGUGAACCCGCAUGAAUCUAUGCUAAAAUCCCACAAAACUGGCUUCAUUUAAUGAAAUAGAUGAGGGAUGUUUAAAAACAUGAUUAGGCAUGAGGUGUUUUGCAUGGUUUCACAGGUACACACAAACACACACAAAUGGAUAGGAUACAGAGGAAGAGGGCUGUAGACAGCAAGUUCCCAUCUCAGUCUUAUCUUUGCUUUUAGCCCCUGUCUCAUUCUCUUCACACCUCUGUCACAGUCCACAGUGCUAAUAGAUGCGCACCCACAUCACAGUGACUAAGAUAUAUUACAAGAGCCGAGACACUUACACAUCACACAUUAUGGGUAUAUUGUGUCCCUGUUUCAAAUUAUUCACAGUGCAAACUGACAGAGAGAUAGUGGGAAAAACUUUUGGUUACAAUGCCGACUGUUCGUUUCGGACAGUCAUUUUAUUUAAAUUGAACAUGUAGAGUACACAAAGCAGACACCCAAUCUCAGCUCCCCAGUGACUUUCUCUUUAUCUAUGCACACAGAGUUCCUUUUCCUGUUCUUUUUUUUUUUUUUUACAUCUGCUGUCACUACCUUCUGAACUGGAGAAAAAGUCUUGUCUGUGUUUCCGCUUUCAGUUCAAUAAACAUGCCCCCUACUCACAUUUGUGGUCACCCUGCCAAAGAUAGAAGAGCAGAGAACUACUUCUUGUGUGUGUGUGUGUGUGUGUGUGUGUGUGUGUGUGUGUGUGUGUGUGUGUGUGUGUGUGUGUGUGUGUGUGUGUGUGUGUGUGUGCGAUCAGACGAGAUAAAGGCGAGGUCACCCAGUGAGGGACUGGCUCAGGCAGAACAGAGGGUGGCUAUUUCUUUUAUCUUCACACGAUUGCAGAGGCACUCAUGCAUAGUGCACACAAAUACACUCCACUACACUCCCGUUAUGAAGAUUAAAUCUGCGAAGGUCACUAUUAGCAUUAAUAAAAGCAUGACAAAUUAGCAUCAGCGGAACAACAACGUGGGGGGGGGGGGG
This is a long non-coding RNA of Etheostoma spectabile (orangethroat darter), 1592 nucleotides long. RefSeq lists it as uncharacterized. The record is from RefSeq and is a predicted model, not a curated record. NCBI's taxonomy places the organism in Eukaryota, Metazoa, Chordata, Actinopteri, Perciformes, Percidae. The transcript has 2 exons.